This 72-nucleotide transfer RNA is filed under the name Camelus bactrianus (Bactrian camel). It matches the Rfam family "tRNA". Rfam says of the family: Transfer RNA (tRNA) molecules are approximately 80 nucleotides in length. Their secondary structure includes four short double-helical elements and three loops (D, anti-codon, and T loops). Lineage: Eukaryota; Metazoa; Chordata; Mammalia; Artiodactyla; Camelidae. RNAcentral also lists the same sequence under 1 other name. The record is from Rfam by way of RNAcentral.
GUGCGUAUAGCCCAGUGGUAGAGCGCGUGUUUAGUUUGCAUGAGGUCCUGGGCUCCAUCCCCAGUACCUCCA